RNAcentral lists this RNase P RNA (369 nucleotides) under uncultured Catenovulum sp. Its description in RNAcentral is "Bacterial RNase P class A". It matches the Rfam family "Bacterial RNase P class A". Rfam says of the family: Ribonuclease P (RNase P) is a ubiquitous endoribonuclease, found in archaea, bacteria and eukarya as well as chloroplasts and mitochondria. Its best characterised activity is the generation of mature 5'-ends of tRNAs by cleaving the 5'-leader elements of precursor-tRNAs. The record is from RNAcentral. Lineage: Bacteria; Pseudomonadati; Pseudomonadota; Gammaproteobacteria; Alteromonadales; Alteromonadaceae.
AGAUGGCUGGGCAAUCGCUGCUUCAUUUAUGAAGGGGAGGAAAGUCCGGGCUCCAUAGGGCAGAGUGCCAGAUAACGUCUGGGCGGCGAAAGCCGACGACCAGUGCAGCAGAGAGUAUACCGCCGAUGGCCUUAGGGCACAGGUAAGGGUGAAAGGGUGCGGUAAGAGCGCACCGCACAGCUGGCAACAGUUUGUGGCACGGUAAACUCCACUCGGAGCAAGAUCAAAUAGGGUUCCUUUGGCGCGGCCCGCGUUGGAACCGGGUAGAUUGCUUGAGCCCUGGUGCGAACCAGGGCCUAGACGAAUGAUUGCCGCUUUGUAUUUAGCAAUAAAUGCAAAGUAACAGAACCCGGCUUACCGGCCGUCUUU